CAGCAGCCGCGGGAAAACGUAGGUGGCAAGCGUUGUCCGGAAUUAUUGGGCGUAAAGGGCUCGCAGGCGGUUUCUUAAGUCUGAUGUGAAAGCCCCCGGCUCAACCGGGGAGAGUCAUUGGAAACUGGGAAACUUGAGUGCAGAAGAGGAGAGUGGAAUUCCACGUGUAGCGGUGAAAUGCGUAGAGAUGUGGAGGAACACCAGUGGCGAAGGCGACUCUCUGGUCUGUAACUGACGCUGAGGAGCGAAAGCGUGGGGAGCGAACAGGAUUAGAUACCCCGGUAGUCCCUGUCUCUUAUAC
Molecule: ribosomal RNA, 301 nt
Filed under: uncultured bacterium
Lineage: Bacteria
Description: partial 16S ribosomal RNA
Rfam family: Bacterial small subunit ribosomal RNA
Source: RNAcentral